GAUGAACGCUGACAGAAUGCUUAACACAUGCAAGUCUUUGGUGAAGCUGUGCUUGCACAGCCUAGCCAAGGCGGACGGGUGAGUAACGCGUAAGGAACUUGCCCUGCAGUCAGGGAUAACAGACGGAAACGACUGAUAAGACCUGGUAAAGUCAGGCGGACUCAUGUCCAGCCUGAUGAAAAGAGAUGCUGCAGGAGAGCCUUGCGUCCUAUUAGCUUGUUGGUGGGGUAACGGCCCACCAAGGCAAUGAUAGGUAGCCGGCCUGAGAGGGUGGACGGCCACAAGGGGACUGAGAUACGGCCCUGACUCCUACGGGAGGCAGCAGUGGGGAAUAUUGGACAAUGGGGGCAACCCUGAUCCAGCAAUUCUGUGUGCACGAUGAAGGUCUUCGGAUUGUAAAGUGCUUUCAGCAGGGAAGAAAAAAAUGACGGUACCUGCAGAAGAAGCGACGGCUAAAUACGUG
RNAcentral lists this ribosomal RNA (463 nucleotides) under uncultured bacterium. RNAcentral's name for it is "partial 16S ribosomal RNA". It matches the Rfam family "Bacterial small subunit ribosomal RNA", at positions 28 to 507 of the family's 1533-position model. The record is from RNAcentral.